Molecule: unclassified non-coding RNA, 1056 nt
Filed under: Hevea brasiliensis (rubber tree)
Lineage: Eukaryota; Viridiplantae; Streptophyta; Magnoliopsida; Malpighiales; Euphorbiaceae
Source: RNAcentral
GUAAAAAUUGUCAUUGCAAUCCUUCCAAUUUCCAUGAUUCCAGACAUUGUUUACAAGUAUGUUAGCACAAUAUGUGACAUGACAAAGAAAUGGCUCGACUCUUCUCUGGAUUGUAAGCCGUUUGGAUAGAACUAUAUUAGAAAAUGAAAUUCAAUAACAAGAUUAAGAAAAUGCCAACAGCAAAUACCACUUUACAGAAAGACCUCAAGGACCUGAACAGAGGAAUCAACCCCCAAAUUUGCUACCCAAUGAUCUGCCAUUUGCAUCAAUAAAUCAAUCUUUUGCAUUCUCCCACCACCCACCAAAGAAUUUGAACAAAGAAUCUUCAAUUUCAAUAAAAGUUCCCCUAAAGCAUCAAUUAUAUGAACUUGAAAAUGCUGAAAAUUCAGGAAGAGCAAGUUUCAUAUCUAUCUUGGAUCCUCAAAAGCUGCCUUCUCUUGAACACCAAGAACCCAACAACACCAAUCUGCAAAAUCGCUGCAAUACCCACAAACAACAACCCAAUCUUCUGCCCUGUGUUCAUUUCGUGAUUACUUUGCAUUGUUGAAAGUGAUUGAUGCCCUGCCAUGUUCCCGUUUGAGGAGGUUUCGCGUAACCUAUUCCUUGGUGGCGGUGGCGGCGGCGGUGGCGGCUGAGGACUGUUUUUAGAACGUGGUGGAGAUGGUGAUAUGCGUGGAGGUGGUGGUGAUUUUGGUGCUGGAGAUGAUGGUGAUUGCGGUGCCGGAGGUGAUAUGGAUGGUGGCGGAGGGGAGGGUGAAGAUGUUGAUGGUGAAGGUGAAGGUGGAGUUGGAGAUGGCGGUGGUGGAGAUGGCGGUGGAGGAGACGGUGGUGGCGGUGGCGGCGGCGGAGGAGGAGGAGGAGGAGGUAGAGAAGAUGAUUUGUGUUUGUGUCGCGUGAGAGAUACCGAAGUGUUGGAGGAAAAACGACGGAGCAGAGAUGGGAAGAGAAGAAGAGAGGUCGCCGGAGAAUGAGAGAGGAGGCGGUGGUGGAAUGAAACAAUGAAGAAAUGAGAAGGCCGUAGGGCCAUGAAACGGAGGAGGGUUAUAUAUUUGGGUA